UACGUAGGGUGCGAGCGUUAAUCGGAAUUACUGGGCGUAAAGCGUGCGCAGGCGGUCUGUUAAGACCGAUGUGAAAUCCCCGGGCUUAACCUGGGAACUGCAUUGGAAACUGGCGGACUCGAGUGUGGCAGAGGGGGGUGGAAUUCCGCGUGUAGCAGUGAAAUGCGUAGAGAUGCGGAGGAACACCGAUGGCGAAGGCAGCCCCCUGGGCUAACACUGACGCUCAGGCACGAAAGCGUGGGGAGCAAACAGG
Molecule: ribosomal RNA, 253 nt
Filed under: uncultured bacterium
Lineage: Bacteria
Description: partial 16S ribosomal RNA
Rfam family: Bacterial small subunit ribosomal RNA
Source: RNAcentral